GCCGCCGUAGCUCAGCCUGGAAGAGCGCUCGGCUCAUAACCGGGUUGCCCCGGGUUCAAAUCCCGGCGGCGGCA
RNAcentral lists this transfer RNA (74 nucleotides) under Pyrobaculum aerophilum. Its description in RNAcentral is "tRNA-Met". It matches the Rfam family "tRNA". Rfam says of the family: Transfer RNA (tRNA) molecules are approximately 80 nucleotides in length. Lineage: Archaea; Thermoproteati; Thermoproteota; Thermoprotei; Thermoproteales; Thermoproteaceae. The record is from RNAcentral. RNAcentral also lists the same sequence under 5 other names.